Molecule: long non-coding RNA, 774 nt
Organism: Esox lucius (northern pike)
Lineage: Eukaryota; Metazoa; Chordata; Actinopteri; Esociformes; Esocidae
Source: Ensembl
UGGCUUUCGGCAUGGAUUCUCAUUCUCAGCUCGGCUUCUAUCUAUGCCGCUUGUGACGGUGCUCAAGCGUACAUCCACAUGUCUGGAAGGGGACAAAAUCUACUUCAGGAUGUAGGACUAUUUAUCGGCCUGGCAAAUAUGCCGAGCUUUGAGACAUCCUCCUAGCCUUCCUCCAGCAGUAGAGAGAUAGCGGUGGCCCACACCAAUGUCACUCCCUCCAAGUCGGAAGCCCUCUGCAGGACAGCGCAGGCGGUCAGUGGCCACUAGUAUUGGGCGUCAUUCCAAUAGCGAUGCCAACAAAACAAGCACUUACCCCACCAACACUUAUCCUGGCAGGGCUAUCGAGGGCAGUCCUACUGGACGUACAUACCCUGGCACACCCAGGUAAGACAAAACGUCUCACCUUUUUAUUUAAGGCAUAUAGGGCCAGUUUCACAGACAUGGAUUAAGCCUGGUCUAGGCCAAAAAAUUAUGUUCAAUAGAAAACUCCAUUGAGCAUGUUUUUUUUUUGGUCCUAGACUAGGCUUAAUCUGUGUCUGUGAAACCGGCCCUUAGUAUUUAAGCGUAGUUUGGUUUUAAGGCAGGUUUUUUUUAAGGCAGAGCUCAAAGUUCCAUGCACAAAAAGGUUUUAGAAAAAAAAGAUUGGGUUGUGUUAGUUGAAGGUUCUGGGUAAACAGGUAAUGUAAUCAAGAUCUUGUUAAUUUAUGACAUAAACCAAAAGCAGAAUCUGCAUACAAACCCCACUGACUGAUCUACUCACAAGCUGUAAAACAG